Molecule: transfer RNA, 76 nt
Filed under: Gammaproteobacteria bacterium
Lineage: Bacteria; Pseudomonadati; Pseudomonadota; Gammaproteobacteria
Description: tRNA-Asp
Rfam family: tRNA
About the family: Transfer RNA (tRNA) molecules are approximately 80 nucleotides in length. Their secondary structure includes four short double-helical elements and three loops (D, anti-codon, and T loops).
Source: RNAcentral
GGACCUGUGGCGCAACGGGAAGCGCGGCUGAUUGUCGAUCAGCAGGUUGCGGGAUCGUAUCCCGUCGGGUCCGCCA